UACGAAGGGGGCUAGCGUUGCUCGGAAUGACUGGGCGUAAAGGGCGCGUAGGCGGUUCGUACAGUCAGACGUGAAAUUCCCGGGCUCAACCUGGGGGCUGCGUUUGAUACGUGCGGGCUUGAGUUCGGAAGAGGGUCGUGGAAUUCCCAGUGUAGAGGUGAAAUUCGUAGAUAUUGGGAAGAACACCGGUGGCGAAGGCGGCGACCUGGUCCGAUACUGACGCUGAGGCGCGAAAGCGUGGGGAGCGAACAGG
Molecule: ribosomal RNA, 253 nt
Filed under: uncultured bacterium
Lineage: Bacteria
Description: partial 16S ribosomal RNA
Rfam family: Bacterial small subunit ribosomal RNA
Source: RNAcentral